UCUAAGGAUUCUUUUGAAUCCACUGCACACACAAAUAAAAGUCUAAG
Vitis vinifera (wine grape) is the source of this 47-nucleotide non-coding RNA. The record is from Rfam. NCBI's taxonomy places the organism in Eukaryota, Viridiplantae, Streptophyta, Magnoliopsida, Vitales, Vitaceae.